RNA transcript from Prosopis cineraria, 3619 nucleotides. RefSeq lists it as uncharacterized. The record is from RefSeq and is a predicted model, not a curated record. The transcript has 12 exons. Lineage: Eukaryota; Viridiplantae; Streptophyta; Magnoliopsida; Fabales; Fabaceae.
GCGAAAUGUGACACGGCAUUGAACUCUGACGAAUUUCACUCUACAGAUCUCGUGCGAAAAUCUUCAUCCUUGCUUCAUAGAAGAAGAAACAGAAUAAGUGGAUUUGAAUCUUGAAACCCUAGCUGAAUUCGAUCUCAACGAAGAUCAGCAUAGAAGCAGACUAGCUAUCUGGGUAGUGGAAAAUGCACCGUGGUCCAGUGGCAGUGGAGGAACAAUUGUUACAGAGAGCUAUUAAGGAAGAAUGCCCGUGGGAAAAUCUUCCAAAACGACUUCAACUAACUCUUUCUUCCAAAGAAGAAUGGCAUAGAAGGAUUAUAGAUUACUGCAUAAGGAAGAGACUCCAAUGGAGUAACUGUUUUGCUCGCAAAGUUUGUAGAGAAAGUGAAUAUUAUGAAGAGAUGAUGCGUUACUUGCGGAAGAACUUAGCUCUAUUUCCUUAUCAUCUUGCAGAAUACAUUUGCCGCAUAAUGAGAAUCUCGCCUUUCAAAUAUUAUUGUGAUAUAAUUUUUGAAGUAAUGAAAAAUGAGCAACCAUAUGACAGCAUCCCAAAUUUUAGUGCCGCGGAUGCUCUAAGACUCACAGGAAUUGGGAGAAAUGAAUUUAUUGAUAUAAUGAAUAAGUGCAGAUCUAAGAAAAUCAUGUGGAAGCUGAACAAGUCAAUUGCAAGAGAACUUUUACCUACACAACCUGUGGAUUUUCCAAUUGAACCCUGGUGGGGAAUCUGUCUUGUGAACUUUACCUUGGAAGAAUUUAAGAAACUCUCAGAGGAGGAAACGGCUACUAUUGACAAAAUUUGUAAAGAAGAAGCAAAUUCUUUUAUCCUAUUUGAUCCUGACAUAGUAAAGGGUCUUUAUAGACGGGGUUUGGUCUAUUUUGAUGUUCCUGUAUAUCCUGAUGACCGGUUCAAAGUUUCCAGGCUUGAAGGUUUUGUUUCCAACAGGGAGCAGUCUUAUGAAGAUCCUAUUGAAGAGUUACUUUAUGCAGUUUUUGUUGUUUCAAGUGAGAAUGCAACUGUUGCUGAAUUGGCAGCUACACUACAGGCUGAUUUAUCUCAACUGCAGGCUGCUGCAUCUUUUGUAUGCCGAUUGGGAUGGGCAACAAAAGUAAUUGAUCCAUCAGCUAUUCUUCAAGAUAGUAGCAUACCUGCUUCUCCUAGAAGUGUAGUCAGUGAUGAAGAUGGUUCGCAUGCUAGUCUGGGUUAUGAGAAUAUUCUUGUUGAUAAUGAUGCCAAUCAACAAGGGGAUAUUUCAGGGUUAGGGAAUAUUCGUUCAGCAUAUACUCGUGUUGCUUUCAUAGUUGAUGCUAACAUUACUUCCUAUCUAAUGAUGGGUUCUGUUUCACCAGGCUUGAAAUCCCAUGCUGUUACACUCUAUGAAGCGGGAAAACUGGGUCAUGCCAGCAUUGGUGAUCUUUGCAAGGAUCUAAGUACCUUGGAGGGUGCAAAAUUUGAGGGUGAACUACAGGAAUUCGCAAAUCAUGCAUUUAGCCUGCGAUGUGUAUUAGAAUGUUUACAAUCAGGUGGACUUGCUACUGAUGCAAAAGUAGAGGAAAAAUUUGACAGCAUGGAUAUGUUAACUUCAAGCAAUGAUGAAUCAGCUUCGCUAAUAUCUGGAAUAUCCUUAAAUUUUGAUAAAAAUAAGCAUGAGGAUGCUUUUGCUUCCUCUGAACCUGCUCCUAGCAGCACACUUGAUGGAACACAUUCUAUUGUGAUGGAAGAUGACAUUAGUCAUGAGCAAGAAGCCAGUGAAUCUGAUGCAAAUCUCCAGAGGAACGAGAAACUAAUGGCAGCUGAUGCGUCAGAUGUUGGAACAGAAAUAAUAAAGAGGAAAAAGAAAUACCGUGUAGAUAUUCUCCGCUGUGAAAGCUUGGCUUCUCUUGCACCAGAUACUCUAGAUCGUCUGUUUCUUCGUGACUAUGAUAUAGUUGUGUCUAUAGUGCCUCUUCCUCAUUCAUCAAUUCUUCCUGGACCCACGGGCCCUGUUCAUUUUGGUCCUCCCUCAUAUUCUUCUAUGACUCCUUGGAUGAAAUUGGUAUUAUAUUCAACUAUAGCUAGUGGGCCAUUGUCAGUUGUACUGAUGAAAGGACAAUGCUUCCGUAUGCUUCCUGCCCCAUUGGCUGGAUGUGAGAAGGCCCUCAUAUGGUCUUGGGAUGGUUCCACUGUAGGAGGGUUGGGAGGGAAGCUUGAAGGAAACUUAGUGAAGGGAGGUAUACUCUUGCAUUGUUUAAAUUCACUUCUUAAACAUUCAGCUUUAUUGGUGCAACCUCUCAGUAGAUAUGAUCUUGAUGAUACUGGAAAUGUGAUUACUAUUGAUAUCCCUCUGCCCCUAAAGAAUUCAGAUGGCUCCAUUGCUCCAAUAGGAAAAGAGUCAGGACUAUGUGAAGCGGAAAGCUCAAAGUUGAAUUCUCUGUUGACUGAUUUGGCAAACAAGAUGGAAUUGUGGACAGUUGGUUAUAUUCGCCUGUUGAAAUUAUUUCAUGGAAAAGAACCGGAUCAUUUGUCACCUGAAGAGAAGUUUGAAUGGGUUCCCCUAAGUGUCGAGUUUGGGAUGCCUCUAUUUAGUCCAAAGUUGUGCGAUAAAAUAUGCAAGAAGGUGGUUUCAUCAGAGUUCCUUCAAACUGGUUCAUUUAGUGAAUACCAUGAUGCAAUGCAAAGCUUAAGGAAAAAGUUGCGUGACAUUUGUGCUGAAUACCAAGCAACGGGUCCUGCUGCAAAGCUUCUAUACCAGAAAGAGCAAGCUAAGGAAUCUUCUCGACAACUUAUGAACUAUGCUAGUGGCAGAUGGAACCCAUUUUUGGACCCUUCCUCUCCAAUUUCAGGGGCAUCAAGCGAGCACCAGAGAUUAAAACUUGUUAAUCGGCAGCGUGGGCGAACUGAAAUUUUGAGUUUCGAUGGCAACAUUCUUAGAUCUUAUUCGUUAACAGGCUACGAUGAUAUCACAAGGCCAACUGGAGAAUCCCCCCCAGGCAAUAAUACAGCAAGAGCCGAACCAGAUGAAAAUGACAGUAAAGAAGUAGUCCUUCCUGGUGUAAAUCUUCUUUUUGAUGGAUCUGUUUUGCAUCCGUUCGAUAUAGGUGCUUGCUUGCAGGCUCGCCAACCUAUUUCCUUAAUAUCAGAAGCAGCAGCUGCAUCAGCAUCUGCAAUCAAAUAGCUCUGCUGAUAUCAUGGAUUAUUCCACCUCUGCGUUGACAAAAAGCAAUGCUAGCAAGUUACUUGGCAAUGUUAUUGCUACUGUCUGGUCUGUCUGCAUCUUCGGGAUUUAACCAUUGUGCUCAAACUUUGGGCUUAUGUCAAAGAUGUCAUAUAUAGAUAUACAGGCAGAUAAACGUGGAUUGUCCGAAGUUUCGUUCAGGAAAAAACCCUCCCUUUUUUCCUUGUAACUUUCCUUAUUUAAAUUAAUGCCAUUUUAGGCUGAUGUACCACUUUGGAUUACAAUUCUGAUUAUUAAGGCACGCUUGUGGCCAACUUCCUAAAAUAUUCGAUCUGCAAUCUUUCAUGUUUGCUUAAUGUUGGUUAUUUUUGGCCCAUGCUUUUGUAGGCCUUGGGAAUUUGUUGAAUUUAGAACUUACAACUGUCUUCGAAUAAUUUCAUCGGAUAUAGAAAAGUACUUUCUUGUUUUAA